Molecule: ribosomal RNA, 447 nt
Filed under: uncultured bacterium
Lineage: Bacteria
Description: bacterial SSU rRNA
Rfam family: Bacterial small subunit ribosomal RNA
Source: RNAcentral
ACCAGACUCCUACGGGAGGCAGCAGUGGGGGAUAUUGCACAAUGGGGGAAACCCUGAUGCAGCGACGCCGCGUGAGUGAAGAAGUAUUUCGGUAUGUAAAGCCCUAUCGGCAGGGAAGAAGGAGGACGGUACCUGACUAAGAAGCCCCGGCUAACUACGUGCCAGCAGCCGCGGUAAUACGUAGGGGGCAAGCGUUAUCCGGAUUUACUGGGUGUAAAGGGGGCGCAGACGGCAGCGCAAGCCAGGAGUGAAAGCCCGGGGCCCAACCCCGGGACUGCUCUUGGAACUGCGCGGCUGGAGUGCAGGAGGGGCAGGCGGAAUUCCUGGUGUAGCGGUGAAAUGCGUAGAUAUCAGGAGGAACACCGGUGGCGAAGGCGGCCUGCUGGACUGCAACUGACGUUGAGGCCCGAAAGCGUGGGGAGCAAACAGGAUUAGAUACCCGAGUAC